AGCAGCCGCGGUAAUUCCAGCUCCAAUAGCGUAUAUUAAAGUUGUUGCAGUUAAAAAGCUCGUAGUUGAAUUUCGGGAUCAAUUAAUUGGUCGUGCCUAUGGUACGUACUGAUUUUAUUGGUUUCUCCCUUCUGACGAACCAUGAUGUCAUUAAUUUGGUGUCGUGGAGAAUCAGGACUGUUACUUUGAAAAAAUUAGAGUGUUUAAAGCAGGCUAACGCUUGAAUACAUUAGCAUGGAAUAAUGAAAUAGGACGUUUGAUCCUAUUUUGUUGGUUUCUAGGAUCGACGUAAUGAUUAAUAGGGAUAGUUGGGGGCAUUAGUAUUCAAUUGUCAGAGGUGAAAUUCUUGGAUUUAUUGAAGACUAACUACUGCGAAAGCAUUUGCCAAGGAUGUUUUCAUUAAUCAAGAACGAAAGUUAGGGGAUCGAAGACGAUCAGAUACCGUCGUAGUCUUAACCAUAAACUAUGCCGACUAGGGAUCGGAUGAUGUUAAUUUUUUAAUGACUCAUUCGGCGCCUUACG
RNAcentral lists this ribosomal RNA (522 nucleotides) under uncultured Glomus. Its description in RNAcentral is "SSU rRNA". It matches the Rfam family "Eukaryotic small subunit ribosomal RNA", at positions 569 to 1092 of the family's 1831-position model. The record is from RNAcentral. Lineage: Eukaryota; Fungi; Glomeromycota; Glomeromycetes; Glomerales; Glomeraceae. RNAcentral also lists the same sequence under 1 other name.